CUGCGGAAGGUCAUUACUAGAGCAAAGGAUAGACAGCGCCCGCGGAGCUCGCUCCCGGGGCUACCCUACUCCCGUAGGGUUUAGAGUCGUCGGGCCUCUCGGAGAAGCUCGGUCCUGAACUCCACCCUUGAAUAAACUACCUUUGUUGCUUUGGCGGGCCGCCUCGUGCCAGCGGCUUCGGCUGUUGAGUGCCCGCCAGAGGACCCCAACUCUUGUUUUUAGUGAUGUCUGAGUACUAUAUAAUAGUUAAAACUUUCAACAACGGAUCUCUUGGUUCUGGCAUCGAUGAAGAACGCAGCGAAAUGCGAUAAGUAAUGUGAAUUGCAGAAUUCAGUGAAUCAUCGAAUCUUUGAACGCACAUUGCGCCCUCUGGUAUUCCGGGGGGCAUGCCUGUUCGAGCGUCAUUAUAACCACUCAAGCUCUCGCUUGGUAUUGGGGUUCGCGGUUUCGCGGCCCCUAAAAUCAGUGGCGGUGCCUGUCGGCUCUACGCGUAGUAAUACUCCUCGCGAUUGAGUCCGGUAGGUCUACUUGCCAGCAACCCCUAAUUUUUUUAAGGUUGACCUCGGAUCAGGUAGGGAUACCCGCUGAACUUAAGCAUAUCAAUAAGCGGAGGAAAAGAAACCAACAGGGAUUACCUCAGUAACGGCGAGUGAAGCGGUAACAGCUCAAAUUUGAAAGCUGGCUCUUUUAGGGUCCGCGUUGUAAUUUGUAGAAGAUGCUUCGGGUGUGGCCCCGGUCUAAGUUCC
RNAcentral lists this ribosomal RNA (746 nucleotides) under fungal sp. Its description in RNAcentral is "eukaryotic LSU rRNA". The stretch from base 251 to 404 matches the Rfam family "5.8S ribosomal RNA". The record is from RNAcentral. Lineage: Eukaryota; Fungi.